Molecule: small nuclear RNA, 164 nt
Organism: Phodopus roborovskii (desert hamster)
Lineage: Eukaryota; Metazoa; Chordata; Mammalia; Rodentia; Cricetidae
Product: U1 spliceosomal RNA
Exons: 1
Source: RefSeq, a predicted model, not a curated record
AUAUUUACCUGGUGGGGGAGAUAACAUGAUCACAAAGGUAGUUUUCCCAGGGUGAGGCUUAGCUAUUGUCCUCUGGAUGCACUGGCCCUGUGAUUUUCCCAAAUAUGGGAAACUUGACUGAAUAAUUUGUGGUAAGUGAGGGCCUACAUUCAUGCUCUUCCAUG